Molecule: non-coding RNA, 21 nt
Organism: Caenorhabditis elegans
Lineage: Eukaryota; Metazoa; Nematoda; Chromadorea; Rhabditida; Rhabditidae
Source: Ensembl
UUCUGAUUCUUUCGUAAUGAU